This 952-nucleotide unclassified non-coding RNA is filed under the name Bombus terrestris (buff-tailed bumblebee). RNAcentral describes it as "misc RNA ENSBTSG00005019823.1". Lineage: Eukaryota; Metazoa; Arthropoda; Insecta; Hymenoptera; Apidae. The record is from RNAcentral.
GUCAGGCACCUUGCUGUUCCGACUGCGCAGCAUCUCUCCGCUCGUCUCUCGUACGCCUUCGUCGAGGCUUCCUACGCAGCGUUGCUCAUCUCGUUUUCUCGUACACGAGCGUGACGUCAUGCUGCAAGUUGCACAGGAGUAACCGACCGUGGGAAGGGGACCAGGGGGGAGUAGUUACGUGGGGAUACAAAACGAGCGAACUCUGGCGCGCGCGCGCACCAGAGAGCCGCAGCGUCGAUGGAUUUGCUGUUAGCUGUAUGCAGCGGGCUGCAUGCAGAAUACACACGCGGUGACAUCGUCGUGGCUAUUACUUUAUGGUUGCACAAGAUUAGACGAGUUUAUCGUUGCACGACAAAACCAUAUAAAUCUCGCCACGACGGAAAAAGGGUGUACGGCCAAUACAGGCCGCAUUUUGUUUUCUCGACAAUGCGAGACGUAUUGCGAUUCCAUCUUCUACGCCGCCUCGCGUAUCCUCCGAAGAGAAAAUGUACUUGUCGGCUUGUGAACUUGGAUGGAACGUUGUGUAUGCGUUUACGUGUUCUUUUGUCAGGACUCGUGAGAAAGCGUUCCACAAUGACACGGUCAUACUCAUACUUCUUGCGGAAAGGAAUGAGUUAGCAGCAGGCCGAAUGCCAGGAUGUUCAUGAAAUGCUUUAUAUUUUGAAACGUUCUUCGCGUUGAUGUCUUUAUUUUAUUAAGUUGUUGCAAUUGUUUGCUCGCAUAUCGUACAUGUAGUUCAAAAGAAAUUAAAAAUUAAAUUUUAUUGCAUAUAUAUAAAUUUAUGUAGAAUAAUAAGAAAAUAAAAUUAAAAAAUAAAUAAAUAAAUAAAUAAAAACGCAAAUUAAACAGAAAUAGUACGUAUUCUAAAACGAAGUAACUUAACCUAACUCUCGUUAAUCACGUACGACCUACGACUACGACCUAACGUUACCAAUUGAGGUUAAAAAAGACU